CCAGACUCUGGGAUAACCCCGGGAAACCGGGAGCUAAUACCGGAUAUGACACCAAUCCGCAUGGGUAUGGUGUGAAAGGUUUUUCGGUCUGGGAUGGACUCGCGGCCUAUCAGCUUGUUGGUGAGUAGUGGCUCACCAAGGCGACGACGGGUAGCCGGCCUGAGAGGGGACCGGCCACACUGGGACUGAGACACGGCCCAGACUCCUACGGGAGGCAGCAGUGGGGAAUAUUGCACAAUGGGCGGAAGCCUGAUUGCAGCGACGCCGCGUGAGGGAUGACGGCCUUCGGGUGUAAACCUCUUUCAGCAGGGAAGAAGCGCAAGUGACGGUACCUGCAGAAGAAGCACCGGCUAACUACGUGCCAGCAGCCGCGGUAAUACGUAGGGUGCGAGCGUUGUCCGGAAUUAUUGGGCGUAAAGAGCUUGUAGGUGGUUUGUCGCGUCUGCUGUGAAAAUCCGAGGCUCACACCUCGGACUUGCAGUGGGUACGGGCAGACUAGAGUGUGGUAGGGGAGACUGGAAUUCCUGGUGUAGCGGUGGAAUGCGCAGAUAUCAGGAGGAACCCGAUGGCGAAGGCAGGUCUCUGGGCCAUUACUGACACUGAGAAGCGAAAGCAUGGGGAGCGAACAGGAUUAGAUACCCUGGUAGUCCAUGCCGUAAACGUUGGGAACUAGGGUGGGUCUCUUCCACGAGAUCCGUGCCGCAGCUAACGCAUUAAGUUCCCCGCCUGGGGAGUACGGCCGCAAGGCUAACAACUCAAAGGAAUUGACGGGGGCCCGCACAAGCGGCGGAGCAUGCGGAUUAAUUCGAUGCAACGCAAGAACCUUACCAAGGCUUUGACAUACACCGGAAUCACUCAGAGAUGGGUGCGUCUUCGGACUGGUGUACAGGUGGUGCAUGGUUGUCGUCAGCUCGUGUCGUGAGAUGUUGGGUUAAGUCCCGCAACGAGCGCAACCCUCGUUCUAUUUGCCAGCACGUCGUGGUGGGACUCAUAGGAGACUGCCGGGGUCAACUCGGAGGAAGGUGGGGAUGACGUCAAAUCAUCAUGCCCCUUAUGUCUUGGGCUUCACGCAUGCUACAAUGGCCGGUACAAAGGGCUGCGAUACCGCGAGGUGGAGCGAAUCCCAAAAAACCGGUCUCAGUUCGGAUUGGGGUCUGCAACUCGACCCCAUGAAGUCGGAGUCGCUAGUAAUCGCAG
This 1197-nucleotide ribosomal RNA is filed under the name Terrabacter sp. Its description in RNAcentral is "bacterial SSU rRNA". It matches the Rfam family "Bacterial small subunit ribosomal RNA", at positions 131 to 1347 of the family's 1533-position model. The record is from RNAcentral. Lineage: Bacteria; Bacillati; Actinomycetota; Actinomycetes; Micrococcales; Intrasporangiaceae.